ACGCUGCUAUCUCUGCCGUAGGCAACUGUUUGAUCUCUGCUUAUGUGGAGAGUGUGAUUCAGUUGACCUUGAAGGAAGAGAUUUUUGUACUACUACAGCAAAAAUGUAGCUGCUUGAUGCAUCAAAUGCAAUAUUAUCUUGCUCAUAGAUCAAGACAGCAGUUGGACUGUGAAAAGCUCUGGGGAGCAAAAAUGGGUUUUGGAUCUGACUGAUUCAUGUCAAUUCCUGCAUGAAAUACUCAUUUCUUCAGCAGAUAUUCCUGUGCACAAGGAUUGUUCCAUACUUGUGUCAAGGAACUCAAUGAAAGGCUGUAUUCUGUAAGUUUACAGGUUAGUAGAAAGUGCUUUUC
Nothoprocta perdicaria is the source of this 349-nucleotide long non-coding RNA. RefSeq lists it as uncharacterized. The transcript is spliced from 3 exons. The record is from RefSeq and is a predicted model, not a curated record. Lineage: Eukaryota; Metazoa; Chordata; Aves; Tinamiformes; Tinamidae.